Molecule: ribosomal RNA, 253 nt
Filed under: uncultured bacterium
Lineage: Bacteria
Description: partial 16S ribosomal RNA
Rfam family: Bacterial small subunit ribosomal RNA
Source: RNAcentral
UACGUAGGGUGCAAGCGUUAAUCGGAAUUACUGGGCGUAAAGCGUGCGCAGGCGGUUUUGUAGGUCUGUCGUGAAAUCCCCGGGCUCAACCUGGGAAUUGCGAUGGAGACUGCAAGGCUAGAAUCUGGCAGAGGGGGGUAGAAUUCCACGUGUAGCAGUGAAAUGCGUAGAGAUGUGGAGGAAUACCGAUGGCGAAGGCAGCCCCCUGGGAUAACACUGACGCUCAUGCACGAAAGCGUGGGGAGCAAACAGG